CGGACGGGUGAGGAAUACAUCGGAAUCUACUCUGUCGUGGGGGAUAACGUAGGGAAACUUACGCUAAUACCGCAUACGUCCUACGGGAGAAAGCAGGGACCUUCGGGCCUUGCGCUAUCAGAUGAGCCUAGGUCGGAUUAGCUAGUUGGUGAGGUAAUGGCUCACCAAGGCGACGAUCCGUAACUGGUCUGAGAGGAUGAUCAGUCACACUGGAACUGAGACACGGUCCAGACUCCUACGGGAGGCAGCAGGC
This 253-nucleotide ribosomal RNA is filed under the name uncultured Pseudomonas sp. RNAcentral's name for it is "partial 16S ribosomal RNA". It matches the Rfam family "Bacterial small subunit ribosomal RNA", at positions 99 to 354 of the family's 1533-position model. The record is from RNAcentral. Lineage: Bacteria; Pseudomonadati; Pseudomonadota; Gammaproteobacteria; Pseudomonadales; Pseudomonadaceae.